Molecule: ribosomal RNA, 253 nt
Filed under: uncultured bacterium
Lineage: Bacteria
Description: partial 16S ribosomal RNA
Rfam family: Bacterial small subunit ribosomal RNA
Source: RNAcentral
UACAGAGGUCUCAAGCGUUGUUCGGAUUCAUUGGGCGUAAAGGGUGCGUAGGUGGCGCUGUAAGUCGGGUGUGAAAUUUCGGAGCUUAACUCCGAAACUGCAUUCGAUACUGCGGUGCUUGAGGACUGGAGAGGAGACUGGAAUUCCCAGUGUAGCGGUGAAAUGCGCAGAUAUUGGGAAGAACACCAGUGGCGAAGGCGGUUCUCUGGGACGGUACUGACGCUGAGACGCGAAAGCGUGGGGAGCGACGAGG